This 506-nucleotide ribosomal RNA is filed under the name uncultured bacterium. Its description in RNAcentral is "partial 16S ribosomal RNA". It matches the Rfam family "Bacterial small subunit ribosomal RNA", at positions 29 to 523 of the family's 1533-position model. The record is from RNAcentral.
AGUGAACGCUGGCGGUAGGCCUAACACAUGCAGGUCGAACGGCAGCACAGAGGAGCUUGCUCCUUGGGUGGCGAGUGGCGGACGGGCGAGGAAUACAUCGGAAUCUACUCUGUCGUGGGGGAUAACGUAGGGAAACUUACGCUAAUACCGCAUACGACCUACGGGUGAAAGCAGGGGACCUUCGGGCCUUGCGCGAUUGAAUGAGCCGAUGUCGGAUUAGCUAGUUGGCGGGGUAAAGGCCCACCAAGGCGACGAUCCGUAGCUGGUCUGAGGGGAUGAUCAGCCACACUGGAACUGAGACACGGUCCAGACUCCUACGGGAGGCAGCAAUGGGGAAUAUUGGACAAUGGGCGCAAGCCUGAUCCAGCCAUACCGCGUGGGUGAAGAAGGCCUUCGGGUUGUAAAGCCCUUUUGUUGGGAAAGAAAUCCAGCUGGCUAAUACCCGGUUGGGAUGACGGUACCCAAAGAAUAAGCACCGGCUAACUUCGUGCCAGCCGCCGCGGUAA